RNAcentral lists this ribosomal RNA (317 nucleotides) under Enterococcus faecalis. Its description in RNAcentral is "bacterial SSU rRNA". It matches the Rfam family "Bacterial small subunit ribosomal RNA", at positions 68 to 381 of the family's 1533-position model. Lineage: Bacteria; Bacillati; Bacillota; Bacilli; Lactobacillales; Enterococcaceae. The record is from RNAcentral.
GGUAACAGGAAGAAGCUUGCUUCUUUGCUGACGAGUGGCGGACGGGUGAGUAAUGUCUGGGAAACUGCCUGAUGGAGGGGGAUAACUACUGGAAACGGUAGCUAAUACCGCAUAACGUCGCAAGACCAAAGAGGGGGACCUUCGGGCCUCUUGCCAUCAGAUGUGCCCAGAUGGGAUUAGCUAGUAGGUGGGGUAACGGCUCACCUAGGCGACGAUCCCUAGCUGGUCUGAGAGGAUGACCAGCCACACUGGAACUGAGACACGGUCCAGACUCCUACGGGAGGCAGCAGUGGGGAAUAUUGCACAAUGGGCGCAAG